Non-coding RNA from Vicia faba (fava bean), 213 nucleotides. Lineage: Eukaryota; Viridiplantae; Streptophyta; Magnoliopsida; Fabales; Fabaceae. The record is from the annotation of a GenBank genome assembly.
AUGCUAAUGUUAUUUCAGUUUUUGUACAGAUGUAUAUUCAAAGUAGAGUAUAAAGCUUCAAAAGGAAUGGGUAAAAACAAGAUGUUCUCAUUAACGAAUAAAAAUCCUAAACAAGAUACGUUGAAUCCCAAUUACAUUACUACAAACACAUUGAUUUAUCUGCUGCACAGAAAGUGCAUAACCAUAGAUAUACAUGCGACAACAAAUAAAUAA